UGCCCUACGGGAGGCAGCAGUGAGGAAUAUUGGUCAAUGGACGCAAGUCUGAACCAGCCAUGCCGCGUGCAGGAUGACGGCUCUAUGAGUUGUAAACUUCUUUUGUACGAGGGUAAACCCCGAUACGUGUAUCGGGUUGAAAGUAUCGUACGAAUAAGCAUCGGCUAACUCCGUGCCAGCAGCCGCGGUAAUACGGAGGAUGCGAGCGUUAUCCGGAUUUAUUGGGUUUAAAGGGUGCGUAGGCGGUUUUUUAAGUUAGUGGUUAAACGUCGGGGCUUCACCUUGUUUUGCCAUUAAUACUUUAA
This 305-nucleotide ribosomal RNA is filed under the name uncultured bacterium. Its description in RNAcentral is "bacterial SSU rRNA". It matches the Rfam family "Bacterial small subunit ribosomal RNA", at positions 335 to 638 of the family's 1533-position model. The record is from RNAcentral.